This 73-nucleotide transfer RNA is filed under the name Xanthomonas campestris pv. campestris. Its description in RNAcentral is "tRNA-Val". It matches the Rfam family "tRNA". From Rfam's summary of the family: Transfer RNA (tRNA) molecules are approximately 80 nucleotides in length. Their secondary structure includes four short double-helical elements and three loops (D, anti-codon, and T loops). The record is from RNAcentral. Lineage: Bacteria; Pseudomonadati; Pseudomonadota; Gammaproteobacteria; Lysobacterales; Lysobacteraceae.
CACUGGAUAGCUCAGUUGGGUAGAGCAGCGGAUUCACCUCCGUGAGUCGCGGGUUCGAAUCCCGCUCCACCAU